GGUCUCUGAAAACCCAGCUCUUUCAUGGGCUUCAGUCGGGAGCGCAUCAUGGACAGACUUAGCAUGAAACCACGAUCAAGGUACAUAGUUUUACUUAGCAGAAUACUUUGAACAUUUCAAUAAAGCCCCGCUGUUCAUGAGGAUGCCUGCCCAGAGAAUGUCACAGCUGAUGAUUUUCACGACCGAGUAUGCAUAUUUACUCCUGGAAAACUGCAGAUGGGAAAUCACUGGCGUUACAGUGGGCAAAAAGGUUCACAGAAAAGUGUCCAACCACUCCUCGUCAGACUGAUCCACAUUUUGUGUUGUUGUUUAUAACGGGAGAGGAGGCAAGAAGUUAUCCAUAAUCCUCAACAUUAAAUUCUGUUUGAUUUUUCAAACUCCAGUUAUAUUUACUUUUUAGAUGAAUUUACUUGUACUGCCUUAGUGCAGUCUUGCUGUUGUCAUUCUGUUCAAUGUUUUUGAUGUUGACAUCUUGUCCUUGUUUUCCACUAUUAAAACAUGU
Stegostoma tigrinum is the source of this 502-nucleotide long non-coding RNA. RefSeq lists it as uncharacterized. The transcript is spliced from 3 exons. The record is from RefSeq and is a predicted model, not a curated record. NCBI's taxonomy places the organism in Eukaryota, Metazoa, Chordata, Chondrichthyes, Orectolobiformes, Stegostomatidae.